GAUCCCAGGUCUGCUAGUGCUAGUUAAUGCUCUGUUAGUACAUUUUUAUAAGCUGCGGUUUCAAUUGGUUAAUGCUCUAUUGCUCUAUUAUUUCAAAUUUUCAAUUCUAUUCACUUAUUCAUGUUACUACAUUGAGUGCAUUAUGCUAGUUCAAUUGAAUCAAUUCUAUUCUUGGUAAUGAUUUAAUGCAUUCUGCCAUUAUGAAAUGCAUUUUGUUAAUGACUCGAUGCAAUAAUGUUUAGGCAAUGGUACUGUUGAUAAUCAUAUUAGUGGCAGCGCAUAUGGAAGCAUUUGCAGUAGCAAUGAUGGAAAGGCCAGUUUGGUUGUAGCAGGUGAGAUGGCCACAGCUUCUGAGAGUUUGAAUGACAGUGGUCGCUAUGUUCGUGAGGGAUCUGGAGUGGAUUCUCUUCGUUCCAGCCAAAGGGAAGCAGCUCUGACCAAGUUCCGACUGAAGAUAGAUGCUUUGAGAAGAAUAAGAAGAUGGCUGAAAUGAAGACAUCAAGGAAACAAGGAGCCAAAGCCACUGCUGCCACAAUUGCUAAGUCUGCCAAAGCUGCUGCCACAUCUACCUCAACAAGCACAAGGCCUCCAGCCUCAACCAAAGCACCAAAGGGCCAAGCUCCAAUAACUUCCAGAUCAUCUUAGAGGAUUAGGAACAAUUUCAAACAAGGGGGAAAAUAGGAAAGAGGAACUAGAAUGUCACAUUAGCAAGCCCUACCAUUUUUUGUCGAUGUUUUGUGUAACUCGGUUGGUAGCUUUAAUGCCUUUUUUAUAAAGGCAUUUUGUAUGAAUGUUGUUUAAUUUAAGGCCCUUAAAUUUAAGUUCAGUUGUGUUCCCAA
Molecule: long non-coding RNA, 839 nt
Organism: Rosa rugosa (rugosa rose)
Lineage: Eukaryota; Viridiplantae; Streptophyta; Magnoliopsida; Rosales; Rosaceae
Exons: 2
Source: RefSeq, a predicted model, not a curated record